Molecule: ribosomal RNA, 326 nt
Filed under: uncultured soil bacterium
Lineage: Bacteria
Description: bacterial SSU rRNA
Rfam family: Bacterial small subunit ribosomal RNA
Source: RNAcentral
AGAUUGAACGCUGGCGGCAGGCCUAACACAUGCAAGUCGAGCGGCAGCACGGGUACUUGUACCUGGUGGCGAGCGGCGGACGGGUGAGUAAUGCCUAGGAAUCUGCCUGGUAGUGGGGGAUAACGCUCGGAAACGGACGCUAAUACCGCAUACGUCCUACGGGAGAAAGCAGGGGGACCUUCGGGCCUUGCGCUAUCAGAUGAGCCUAGGUCGGAUUAGCUAGUUGGUGAGGUAAUGGCUCACCAAGGCGACGAUCCGUAACUGGUCUGAGAGGAUGAUCAGUCACACUGGAACUGAGACACGGUCCAGACUCCGUACGGGAGCAG